RNA transcript from Leptinotarsa decemlineata (Colorado potato beetle), 1092 nucleotides. RefSeq lists it as uncharacterized. Lineage: Eukaryota; Metazoa; Arthropoda; Insecta; Coleoptera; Chrysomelidae. The record is from RefSeq and is a predicted model, not a curated record.
UUUGACGAUUAGAUGGCUGUUCUGCUCCGUAAGAACGAUAUGUUUUCUGAAUGUCACUCUCGUUACUGGAGAGAAGAGAGUUUCAUUAUUAUAAGGUACCUUUGAAAAAGGUGAAUCCCUUAUGAGUUAGUUCAUUUUAUCAAUGAGAGAGAUACGUUCUUGAAAAUAAUAAUUUCAUCCUGAAGGAAAACGAUAAACUGAAUGAUAACCAUUGAUAGUCAGAUGAAUUAUCCUGUCGUAUAUCAACGCUUCAUCAGAUGUCCAAAUUUUGGUUGUGAAUACCAAGGACUUGAACAAUACUCACUUGAUCAUGGAAUGAUUUGUCCAUUCAGACCUGUUCUUUGUCCACUGAGAUUCCAUAUUUUGUGCACAUGGAGAGGUCCUAUGAAAUUUAUAACAGGACACUGUGUAUCGCAUCAUACUAAGUAUGUUUCAAUCAGAAAUAUUGAUAUUACGGUUCCAAGUUUAGAAAAUAUUGAAUCUUUUGGUGGUGGAACUGUUUUACAUCUUGCAUUCGACAGAAUAUUUGGUUUUUCUUUUAUGUUUCGCACAAGUGAUGAAAUGUUCUGCUCAGGUUGCUAUUACUUUGGAGAAUCAACGGAAGAAGGGCUUUUUCGCUAUGAAAUAACUUUCAUCAGAGGAAAUAAUAGCACCCUUGUUCCAAUUUUUAGUUCUAUCUGUUACUCUAUGAAAUUCAAUUCUGAUAUUUUGGACACGAGUUGCUAUUCGGAAGUCUCUUAUUCUGAUUGGGCUAAGUUCUGUGAUGAUUCUGGAGCAUUGAAUAUCCAGGUGAAGUUAUUUUACAACAGCAUGGAACUUUCUACCCGCCUGUGAACCAAGGUGACUGGAUAUCGGGUUGUGUGCUGAAAUCAUGAAUCAUUGAGAAUUGUGUUUAUUGUUAGUCAUCAUUUUCAGUUAUAGAACAUUUUAUAUAGUUUUCUCGUACACUAAAUUUUCCAUUAAGCUCUCAAUGUGAUGAAUUAUAAUAAAAAUAAUACCAGUGACUGAGUUGCUACUUAUAAUUUAAUCAAUGUGUAGAAUAUUAAGUAUUAGAAUUUGUUUGUUCCUUUCAAUAAAUUUGUUCGAUACAAG